GAUGCUUCUGCUUUUUCUUUCAGAAUACAGCUGUCUCCAAGCCCAUGUGAGCCCGCUGGAGGAUGAGAUACAAUGAGGAAGAGAGCCAAGUUGCCCACUUGACAGCCAGCUCGCCCCCAGAAGCAGAGCCCCCAGCCAACGAGCAGCUAACCACACACGCAUGAAGGAGCCCAGCAGAGACCAGACUGGUCCUGCGGAACCCAGCCUAAACUGCUGACCAGCUCAGUCAUGAGCUAGGUCAAGAGGAGUCACCUCCCCAAGGUCAAGAGGAACCCUGAGUGCUGCAUUUCCAAUGUGACAGCCUCUCAACACAUGUGAGUGCUCAGCACCUAGAAUGUGGCUGGUCCAAGUUAUGAUGCGCUGAAAGUGCAAAAUAGAGUGAAUUUCAAAGAUUUAAUACAAAAAGUGUUGAGAUUUAAAACUACAGACGUGGCUCACUUCCUGCUUCUACUGGACAUUGCUCUCUUCAAGGACUGCCUCCUUUUCAAAGCGCAGGCUGCCUCCUCAGAAGAGCAGAGGACAGGAAGAUUAGGAAAUCUGAAAUUUUGAAAGAACUUGGCAUUUUACUGGUUCCACUUGUGAAUAAGGGAUUUAAUAAGGCUUUAAAUUUAAGAUUUAAUAUUUAAAAUAAAACGCAUCAUUUCAA
Non-coding RNA from Callorhinus ursinus (northern fur seal), 646 nucleotides. Lineage: Eukaryota; Metazoa; Chordata; Mammalia; Carnivora; Otariidae. The record is from RefSeq and is a predicted model, not a curated record.